UUAACAAAGCGUGGCGUGGAAGCCUUGGCACCAGUGAACUUGGACGUUUCAAAUACGAAAAGCUGUGGUCUCUGCUUGCCACAGAUCUCCAAAGGGAAACCCAAAAGACUAAUCAUCUGCCAACGGAAACCUCCUAUAGCAGAAAAUUCAUCAACCGAAAAUCCGAUAGUAGUGGCGAACGAACUCGGAAAUAGUCAGUCUUCGCUUUUCGAACCUGGGCGUUCGCAUAUGGAGCGUGCCUCGCUCCAUCGAACAUGCUCGUCAAUCUGCUUUAUUGUUACGCUUUCUGAGCUUUACAGAUCAGUCAACGUGACAUUUUUGGAAAACAGAGCCAAAGAAGGUGAUAGCCCUGUAGACGAGAUCAUGUAAUUGACAUCGUGAAUAAUCUCAUACAUAUGUAUGAAAAUUUAAACAAUUUCUCAAUGUGUCACUAAAGUGACACAUUAGUGACACCUAAGGUGUCACCAACGAUUUGCAGAUGCUCGUUUUAUCUCGAGAAUCGAAGGGGGAACCACCCUCCUGGCAAAAACCACUGUGUGACCGAUAGUGAACAAGUACCGUGAGGGAAAGGUGAAACAGAGUGACCGACGGUCACAAUGAAAUAGUUCUGAAACUCCGCGCUUACAUCCGACUAAAAGCUCAUAUUGCGAUUCGCUUCGCGAAUCGAUUAGGGAGUUUUAGUGUCCCUUUUGCAACAUGGGUCAGCGAGUUGUUUGUAGCAGCUGCUUAAACUGGUAAGUGUAGGCA
This 747-nucleotide ribosomal RNA is filed under the name Bracteacoccus aerius. RNAcentral's name for it is "LSU rRNA". It matches the Rfam family "Bacterial large subunit ribosomal RNA", at positions 1 to 668 of the family's 2925-position model. The record is from RNAcentral. Lineage: Eukaryota; Viridiplantae; Chlorophyta; Chlorophyceae; Sphaeropleales; Bracteacoccaceae.